UGUAAGCGUAUACCAAAGUUGUUGCAGUUAAAACGCUCGUAGUCGGAAUUUGGCAGUUCCGGAUGUGUGCACGUCGUGUGCGCACUUCGCGGGGAUUGCUUUUGUGGUCUUGCGUAGGAUGAGGCACUUUUAUUAGUGAACGUCCUCACGCAACCACUUUUUACUGUGAGAAAAUCAGAGUGCUCAAAGCAGGCAUUUGCCGUGAAUGUAUUAGCAUGGAAUAAUAGAAUAGGACUUGGUUAUAUUUUGUUGGUUUGUUGGGACUGAGUAAUGAUUAAGAGGGACAGUUGGGGGCAUUUGUAUUUCGGUGCUAGAGGUGAAAUUCUUAGAUUACCGAAAGACAAACUGCUGCGAAAGCGUCUGCCAAGGAUGUUUUCAUUGA
Molecule: ribosomal RNA, 382 nt
Filed under: uncultured eukaryote
Lineage: Eukaryota
Description: partial 18S ribosomal RNA
Rfam family: Eukaryotic small subunit ribosomal RNA
Source: RNAcentral